This 468-nucleotide ribosomal RNA is filed under the name uncultured bacterium. RNAcentral describes it as "partial 16S ribosomal RNA". It matches the Rfam family "Bacterial small subunit ribosomal RNA", at positions 28 to 507 of the family's 1533-position model. The record is from RNAcentral.
GACGAACGCUGGCGGCGUGCUUAACACAUGCAAGUCGAACGGAAAGGCCCUGCUUUUGUGGGGUGCUCGAGUGGCGAACGGGUGAGUAACACGUGAGUAACCUGCCCUUGACUUUGGGAUAACUUCAGGAAACUGGGGCUAAUACCGGAUAGGAGCUCCUGCUGCAUGGUGGGGGUUGGAAAGUUUCGGCGGUUGGGGAUGGACUCGCGGCUUAUCAGCUUGUUGGUGGGGUAGUGGCUUACCAAGGCUUUGACGGGUAGCCGGCCUGAGAGGGUGACCGGCGACAUUGGGACUGAGAAACGGCCCAGACUCCUACGGGAGGCAGCAGUGGGGAAUAUUGCACAAUGGGCGGAAGCCUGAUGCAGCAACGCCGCGUGCGGGAUGACGGCCUUCGGGUUGUAAACCGCUUUCGCCUGUGACGAAGCGGGAGUGACGGUAAUGGGUAAAGAAGCACCGGCUAACUACGUG